Molecule: transfer RNA, 66 nt
Filed under: Metopograpsus frontalis
Lineage: Eukaryota; Metazoa; Arthropoda; Malacostraca; Decapoda; Grapsidae
Description: tRNA-Ser
Source: RNAcentral
GGAGUAUUAUGUCAAACAGUAAGCUUCUAACUUACUUUUAAGCGGUUUAAUUCCGUUUAUACUCCU